Molecule: non-coding RNA, 26 nt
Filed under: Rattus norvegicus (Norway rat)
Lineage: Eukaryota; Metazoa; Chordata; Mammalia; Rodentia; Muridae
Source: RNAcentral
UAUCAAGAGGCAAACAGCACUCAGAC